AACACAUGCAAGUCGAGCGGAGAUGAGCGAAUAAUUUAUUAUUUGCGAAAUCUUAGCGGCGGACGGGUGAGUAACACGUGAGCAACCUACCUACCAGAGAGGGAUAACAUAUCGAAAGAUAUGCUAAUACCGCAUGAAGUAUACAAACCGCAUGGUAAGUAUAUUAAAGUGAUAGCGCUGGUAGAUGGGCUCGCGGACCAUUAGCUAGUUGGUAAGGUAAAGGCUUACCAAGGCGACGAUGGAUAGCCGGCCUGAGAGGGUGGACGGCCACAUUGGGACUGAGACACGGCCCAGACUCCUACGGGAGGCAGCAGUGGGGGAUAUUGCGCAAUGGGGGAAACCCUGACGCAGCGACGUCGCGUGAAGGAAGAAGGCUUUCGGGUCGUAAACUUCUAUGAAUCGGGAAGAAAAAGGACGGUACCGAUAGAUGAAGCCACGGCUAACUACGUGCCAGCAGCCGCGGUAACACGUAGGUGGCAAGCGUUGUCCGGAAUUACUGGGUGUAAAGGGUGCGUAGGCGGGUAUGCAAGUCAGAUGUGAAAUACCGGGGCUCAACUCCGGGGUGGCAUUUGAAACUGUGUAUCUUGAGUGCAGGAGAGGGAAGCGGAAUUCCUAGUGUAGCGGUGAAAUGCGUAGAGAUUAGGAAGAACACCAGUGGCGAAGGCGGCUUUCUGGACUGCAACUGACGCUGAGGCACGAAAGCGUGGGGAGCGAACAGGAUUAGAUACCCUGGUAGUCUACGCUGUAAACGAUGGAUACUAGGUGUAGGUGUGGUAAACACAGCUGUGCCGGAGUAAACACAAUAAGUAUCCCACCUGGGGAGGACGACCGCAAGGUUGAAACUCAAAGGAAUUGACGGGGGCCCGCACAAGCAGUGGAGUAUGUGGUUUAAUUCGAAGCAACGCGAAGAACCUUACCAGAGCUUGACAUCCAUGGAAGUUAGUAGAGAUACUAAUGUGCCUUCGGGAGCCAUGAGACAGGUGGUGCAUGGUUGUCGUCAGCUCGUGUCGUGAGAUGUUGGGUUAAGUCCCGCAACGAGCGCAACCCUUAUUACUAGUUACCAGCACGUAAAGGUGGGGACUCUAGUGAGACUGCCGGUGACAAAUCGGAGGAAGGUGGGGAUGACGUCAAAUCAUCAUGCCCCUUAUGUUCUGGGCUACACACGUACUACAAUGGGAGAUACAAAGAGAAGCGAAGCAGUGAUGCGGAGCAAACCUUAAAAGUCUUUCACAGUUCGGAUUGCAGGCUGAAACCCGCCUGCAUGAAGUCGGAAUUGCUAGUAAUCGCGGAUCAGCAUGUCGCGGUGAUACGUUCCCGGGCCUUGUACACACCGCCCGUCACACCAUGAGAGUCGGAAACACCCGAAGCCUGUGAGCUAACGCAAGAGGCAGCAGUCGAAGGUGGGGCCGAUGAUUGGGGUGA
Molecule: ribosomal RNA, 1422 nt
Filed under: uncultured organism
Description: bacterial SSU rRNA
Rfam family: Bacterial small subunit ribosomal RNA
Source: RNAcentral